AGAGUUUGAUCAUGGCUCAGAACGAACGCUGGCGGCGUGCCUAAGACAUGCAAGUCGUGCGGGAAAGGGGCUUCGGCCCUGAGUACAGCGGCAUCCGGGUGAGUAACGCGUGGGUAACCUGCCUCGCAGUCCGGGAUAACCUGGGGAAACCUGGGCUAAUACCGGAUAAGCCCACGAGAUCUUCGGAUCUUGCGGGAAAAGGUGGCCUCUGCUUGCAAGCUACCGCUACGAGAUGGGCCCGCGUCCCAUUAGCUAGUUGGCGAGGUAACGGCUCACCAAGGCUACGAUGGGUAGCUGGUCUGAGAGGACGAUCAGCCACACUGGGACUGAGACACGGCCCAGACUCCUACGGGAGGCAGCAGUCGGGAAUCUUGGGCAAUGGGCGCAAGCCUGACCCAGCGACGCCGCGUGAGGGAUGAAGGCCUUCGGGUCGUAAACCUCUGUCGGGAGGGAAGAACGGCCGUGGGUUGAACAAUCCCGCGGUCUGACGGACCUCCUAAGGAAGCGCCGGCUAACUCGUGCCAGCAGCCGCGGUAAUAC
RNAcentral lists this ribosomal RNA (540 nucleotides) under uncultured bacterium. RNAcentral's name for it is "bacterial SSU rRNA". It matches the Rfam family "Bacterial small subunit ribosomal RNA", at positions 8 to 526 of the family's 1533-position model. The record is from RNAcentral.